This is a long non-coding RNA of Danio aesculapii, 284 nucleotides long. RefSeq lists it as uncharacterized. The transcript has 3 exons. The record is from RefSeq and is a predicted model, not a curated record. NCBI's taxonomy places the organism in Eukaryota, Metazoa, Chordata, Actinopteri, Cypriniformes, Danionidae.
CUCCGGACAGCUCAUUUCCAUGAGUGCCGCCACAUACAGCCAUACCACCCAGAGCUGGCAGGAACACAGAUGCCAUCUAAAACAGACAAGACGGUAGAGAGAAUUGACAAGAAAGUGUGGGGAGCAGAGAGAGGGGAAGGAUCGGCAUAGGACCUCGAGGAGGGACUCGAACCUGGGUUGCCGCGAACACCGGAGUGUAACAAUGAUCAUUACCUGAAGCUGAGGAUGAACAGCAGCGGUGAGAUUUCGAGUCUCGGGAUCUCUGGGAUAAUCCACACUUUUGA